Molecule: long non-coding RNA, 930 nt
Filed under: Xyrichtys novacula (pearly razorfish)
Lineage: Eukaryota; Metazoa; Chordata; Actinopteri; Labriformes; Labridae
Rfam family: Small nucleolar RNA SNORA17 (bases 454-590)
Source: RNAcentral
CGGGCCAGAUAUUUAGCCUACAAUGGAAUUGAUAUCAGCUAUAAUCCAUAAAAUUUAGUUACAGCAACAAAACAUCAGUGCUUGAAGUCUCACUGCUAUUGUUUCAUAUUUCCUGUAAUUCAACAUAUUAAUAGCAGUAAUCAUAAUCAUCUGUUGCUUGGUUGCACCCUUUUUCAAUUACUUUUGUUUCUCCAUUUUUAAAACUCUAUCCUGCACUUUCUUCUUGAGUUUUAAUACGUGUUAGGUGACUACAGAAACCUUUUAAUGAUGUUGUUGUUCCAGUCUAAUAACCAGUUCCUAAAAAUCAAAUGUAAACUCAGAGCUGUGAGUAAGUGGUUUUGUAAUAACAGGGGCCUGGAGUGUUCCUCUGAUGGACCUGAUAUUCCUGUGGAGCAGCAGCAGAGUCUCUUGAGCAGGUGAGCUGACGUGUUUGUCCUCUUAGCCUUGGUUGAACUUGCCCCUUGAGGCGUUGCAGUCCGACUUUGUGUCGAUCCUGUGUCAUGAGGUGGCAGAGAAUAAACGGUCUACAUCAUCAGAUUUGUUCGGUUCCCAUCACAGCGGGGAUUUGACAUGAUGUUUGUACCUACAAAAUCUAAAUAAAAUGUUUGUCUGCAUAAAUCUAAGGCUUUUAUUGUCAAGUGUGUAAUUCUUUUUUGUCUUCUUUAUUAUGAAGGAGGAAGUCUGGAGCCGCCUUCAAAUGAGAGUUUGAGACAGCCCUUCAUCAGUACUGGUUUUUCUAAUAUUUUGACUAAAAGGUAAAAUUUUGAAAUGCAUAUUCAAACUUUAAGUUAAAUGUUGCCAUAGUUAUUAGUUUAAAGCUUAUAUCAUCAACAUCCUAUCAUAUUUAGUGAAGUAUUGUUUCAUUAUGAUUAAAAAAUGUGAAAUACCUGAAACCAUUUCUUUAAUAAAGUAACAUCUGUGACCAACUUU